GAUGCCAGCUUCUCCACUAGGGGUUUGCAUGCCCCUGGGAGCCACAGACUGGAAAUGACAUGUGAGACCUCUACCAAUUGAGGGUUUCAUGAGCACGCUCCUUUGCCAAGAUCUUGGCGACUUGUCAGUCUCACCCUGUGUUAUUAUAGCAUAGAAAUUACUUCUGAUCAUGAUUGUGCUUGGCUGGAUGCUUUUUGUUGGAUUUGCAUGUUACAUGGGCACAUUUCCAGUGAUCACACACCAGUUGACCAAGAAGCUGAGCCAUGAUUGUCGUCUUAUGGAUGCUUCUCAUUGCAGGGACAAUGUGGAAGGGAUAUAAGUAUCCCCCAGGAGGGACCCCAGUGGAAAUAAGCAAAGAUGAUCCUGGUGAAGUGAUGCAGCUCUGAAGUUCACCCUGACCAAGCUGUACAGCUCCUGUUGGUUUCACAUAAAGUCAUUGCACAAGAUCCUGUCCUUUCAUGUAAAAAGUUACUGCAUUUUGUAA
This is an RNA transcript of Ochotona princeps (American pika), 484 nucleotides long. It is a transcript of the gene named mitochondrial sheath formation associated, with no coding region annotated. NCBI's taxonomy places the organism in Eukaryota, Metazoa, Chordata, Mammalia, Lagomorpha, Ochotonidae. The record is from RefSeq and is a predicted model, not a curated record. The transcript has 3 exons.